CACGUAGGCGGAUUGUUAAGUCAGGGGUGAAAUCCCGGAGCUCAACUCCGGAACUGCCUUUGAAACUGGCAAUCUUGAGUCCGGGAGAGGUGAGUGGAACUGCGAGUGUAGAGGUGAAAUUCGUAGAUAUUCGCAAGAACACCAGUGGCGAAGGCGGCUCACUGGCCCGGUACUGACGCUGAGGUGCGAAAGCGUGGGGAGCAAACA
RNAcentral lists this ribosomal RNA (207 nucleotides) under uncultured bacterium. RNAcentral's name for it is "partial 16S ribosomal RNA". It matches the Rfam family "Bacterial small subunit ribosomal RNA", at positions 568 to 774 of the family's 1533-position model. The record is from RNAcentral.